RNAcentral lists this ribosomal RNA (534 nucleotides) under Ameerega trivittata (three-striped poison frog). RNAcentral describes it as "partial large subunit ribosomal RNA". It matches the Rfam family "Bacterial large subunit ribosomal RNA", at positions 1862 to 2597 of the family's 2925-position model. The record is from RNAcentral. Lineage: Eukaryota; Metazoa; Chordata; Amphibia; Anura; Dendrobatidae.
CCCAGUGACUUUGUUCAACGGCCGCGGUAUCCUAACCGUGCGAAGGUAGCGUAAUCACUUGUUCUUUAAAUGAGGACUAGUAUGAAUGGCCCUACGAGGGCUGCACUGUCUCCUUUUUCUAAUCAAUGAAACUAAUCUCCCCGUGAAGAAGCGGGAAUUAUCCUAUAAGACGAGAAGACCCUAUGGAGCUUUAAACAAUUGAAACAUUUGCUUUCCUCCUAACUCCUCCCGAGCUCUUUAUUUUUAUUUAAGCAUUAUUAUUUCUAGUUUUAGGUUGGGGUGACCACGGAGCAAAACUAAACCUCCAUGAAGAAAUGAAUAUUUUUAAGCCACAAACUACUUUUUUAAGCAUCAACAAAUUGACCUUCAUUGACCCAAUAUAUUGAUCAACGAACCAAGUUACCCUAGGGAUAACAGCGCAAUCUACUUCAAGAGCUCAUAUCGACAAGUAGGUUUACGACCUCGAUGUUGGAUCAGGGUAUCCUAGUGGUGCAGCCGCUACUAAUGGUUCGUUUGUUCAACGAUUAAAACCCU